AAAAAGGAUUUCUGUCCUGAGUGGCUCAUGUAGAACAACUCCUGGCUCUUCAUGCAGAAUCUAUAUCAAGAGAUUUUGGAAGCUUAAGUUUUUGGUACUUGGACAG
This 106-nucleotide small nuclear RNA is filed under the name Castor canadensis (American beaver). Its description in RNAcentral is "U11 spliceosomal RNA (ENSCCNG00000026571.1)". It matches the Rfam family "U11 spliceosomal RNA", at positions 1 to 107 of the family's 134-position model. The record is from RNAcentral. Lineage: Eukaryota; Metazoa; Chordata; Mammalia; Rodentia; Castoridae.